GACGAACGCUGGCGGCGUGCCUAAUACAUGCAAGUCGAGCGAAGUUUUUCUGGUGCUUGCACUAGAAAAACUUAGCGGCGUACGGGUGAGUAACACGUAAAGAACCUGCCUCAUAGACUGGGACAACUAUUGGAAACGAUAGCUAAUACCGGAUAACAGUAUUUCUCGCAUGAGAGAUAUUUAAAAGUUGGUUAUGCUAACACUAUGAGAUGGCUUUGCGGUGCAUUAGCUAGUUGGUGGGGUAAAGGCCCACCAAGGCGACGAUGCAUAGCCGACCUGAGAGGGUGAUCGGCCACACUGGGACUGAGACACGGCCCAGACUCCUACGGGAGGCAGCAGUAGGGAAUCUUCCGCAAUGGGCGAAAGCCUGACGGAGCAACGCCGCGUGAGUGAAGAAGGAUUUCGGUUCGUAAAGCUCUGUUGUUAGGGAAGGAUGGAUAUGUAGUAACUAUACAUGUAAGAGACGGUACCUAACCAGAAAGCCACGGCUAACUACGUG
Molecule: ribosomal RNA, 499 nt
Filed under: uncultured bacterium
Lineage: Bacteria
Description: partial 16S ribosomal RNA
Rfam family: Bacterial small subunit ribosomal RNA
Source: RNAcentral